AUACGGAGGGUGCAAGCGUUAAUCGGAAUUACUGGGCGUAAAGCGCGCGUAGGUGGUUUAGUAAGUCGGAUGUGAAAGCCCUGGGCUCAACCUGGGAAUUGCAUUCGAUACUGCUUGACUAGAGUAUGGUAGAGGGAAGUGGAAUUUCCGGUGUAGCGGUGAAAUGCGUAGAUAUCGGAAGGAACACCAGUGGCGAAGGCGACUUCCUGGGCCAAUACUGACGCUGAGGUGCGAAAGCGUGGGGAGCAAACAGGAUUAGAAACCCUGGUAGUCC
This 274-nucleotide ribosomal RNA is filed under the name uncultured bacterium. RNAcentral's name for it is "partial 16S ribosomal RNA". It matches the Rfam family "Bacterial small subunit ribosomal RNA", at positions 523 to 796 of the family's 1533-position model. The record is from RNAcentral.